CCUUUCCUACGGGAGGCAGCAGUGAGGAAUAUUGGUCAAUGGCCGGAAGGCUGAACCAGCCACGUCGCGUGAGGGACGACUGCCCUAUGGGUUGUAAACCUCUUUUAUAAGGGAAGAAUAAAUGCUACGUGUAGCAUGAUGCCUGUACCUUAUGAAUAAGCAUCGGCUAACUCCGUGCCAGCAGCCGCGGUAAUACGGAGGAUGCGAGCGUUAUCCGGAUUUAUUGGGUUUAAAGGGUGCGCAGGCGGGCUGUUAAGCCGGCGGUAAAAAUUCAGGGCUCAACCCUGGCGAGCCGUCGG
RNAcentral lists this ribosomal RNA (299 nucleotides) under uncultured bacterium. Its description in RNAcentral is "partial 16S ribosomal RNA". It matches the Rfam family "Bacterial small subunit ribosomal RNA", at positions 333 to 630 of the family's 1533-position model. The record is from RNAcentral.